UACGUAGGUGGCAAGCGUUAUCCGGAUUUAUUGGGCGUAAAGGGAACGCAGGCGGUCUUUUAAGUCUGAUGUGAAAGCCUUCGGCUUAACCGGAGUAGUGCAUUGGAAACUGGGAGACUUGAGUGCAGAAGAGGAGAGUGGAACUCCAUAUGUAGCGGUGAAAUGCGUAGAUAUAUGGAGGAACACCGGUGGCGAAAGCGGCUCUCUGGCCUGUAACUGACACUGAGGCUCGAAAGCGUGGGGAGCAAACAGG
RNAcentral lists this ribosomal RNA (253 nucleotides) under uncultured bacterium. RNAcentral describes it as "partial 16S ribosomal RNA". It matches the Rfam family "Bacterial small subunit ribosomal RNA", at positions 524 to 776 of the family's 1533-position model. The record is from RNAcentral.